UUUUGGUUACCGGAUUCUCUUCCGGUCUUGUCUUCCGUAAGUCGGGCUUCUGUUUCCGGAAAGAAGUGGCUCUCUUAGCACUGACUUUGCCGGCUGUUGACUCCGGGAAGCGGUGGCUCCCUUAGCUCUGACUUCGCCGGCUUUUGAACUAGUGGCUGUUGAAGACAUAAAGUAAAGAAGCAAAGCGUAGAGCUCAAACUUACGAAACUCAUGGUGUAAAGGAUGCUUACAUAAUAUCUCUCAAUGCCUCUGAGGCUAUUGACGCCACUAAGAAAGGAAGCCUUGCUAGGUUUAUAAAUCAUUCAUGUAAACCAAACUGUGAGACGAGGAAGUGGAAUGUUCUUGGAGAAGUCAGAGUUGGGAUCUUUGCCAAAGAGAGCAUAUCUCCAAGGACUGAGCUGGCUUAUGACUAUAACUUUGAGUGGUACGGUGGAACCAAAGUCCGUUGUCUCU
Brassica napus (rape) is the source of this 453-nucleotide long non-coding RNA. RefSeq lists it as uncharacterized. The record is from RefSeq and is a predicted model, not a curated record. NCBI's taxonomy places the organism in Eukaryota, Viridiplantae, Streptophyta, Magnoliopsida, Brassicales, Brassicaceae. The transcript has 4 exons.